RNAcentral lists this long non-coding RNA (336 nucleotides) under Homo sapiens (human). Its description in RNAcentral is "HSALNT0279361". Lineage: Eukaryota; Metazoa; Chordata; Mammalia; Primates; Hominidae. The record is from RNAcentral.
GAGAAGAGCAAGUGACCUGGGGAAAGGCGGCUUUCUUUGUCUUGAUGGUGUGUCGAUUUCCACUGCUCAGAAGGCCUGACCACAGAGGAACCCCAAGUCAUCCAGCUGGCAAUAGUGUGAGAAAACAUCUGCAUUCCCUUAACUCCCCUCUGAGGUACAGCACACACUGAAAGUGCACAGACUGCAGGUGCACGGCAUGGUGAGGUUAUGGCCAGACACACCCGGACGGAGAGCAGAACGUGUACAAAUAUGUGCAGACUGCAGGUGCACGGCAUGGUGAUGUUAAGGCCGGACACACCCGGACGGAGAGCAGAACGUGUACAAAUAUGUGCAGAC